UACGGAGGGGGCUAGCGUUGCUCGGAAUCACUGGGCGUAAAGCGCACGUAGGCGGCUUUCUAAGUCAGGGGUGAAAUCCUGGAGCUCAACUCCAGAACUGCCUUUGAUACUGGAGAGCUUGAGUCCGGGAGAGGUGAGUGGAACUCCGAGUGUAGAGGUGAAAUUCGUAGAUAUUCGGAAGAACACCAGUGGCGAAGGCGGCUCACUGGCCCGGUACUGACGCUGAUGUGCGAAAGCGUGGGGAGCAAACAGG
RNAcentral lists this ribosomal RNA (253 nucleotides) under uncultured bacterium. RNAcentral's name for it is "partial 16S ribosomal RNA". It matches the Rfam family "Bacterial small subunit ribosomal RNA", at positions 524 to 776 of the family's 1533-position model. The record is from RNAcentral.